AUUUAGGUAGCUUAAUUAAAAGUUUAAUAUUGAAAAUAUUAAGAUGAAUAUUUUAUUCUUUAGAUA
This 66-nucleotide transfer RNA is filed under the name Pseudosymplanella nigrifasciata. Its description in RNAcentral is "tRNA-Phe". Lineage: Eukaryota; Metazoa; Arthropoda; Insecta; Hemiptera; Caliscelidae. The record is from RNAcentral.